UUAGAGGGACUGGCUUUGUAUAAAUUGCUGGAAGUUGGUAGCAAUAACAGGUCUGUGAUGCCCUUAGAUGUUCUGGGCAGCGCACGGGCUACAAUAGGAGAGUAAGUGAGUUUGUUCAACUUAGUUCGAAAAGGGCUGUGGAAUCUUAAACCUGUUCUUUAUAUGGAAUCACGCUUUGAAAUUUUAACGUGUAAACUAGGAAUACCUAGUAAGUGUAUGUCAUCAACGUGCACUGAAUACGUCCCUGCCCUUUGUACACACCGCCCGUCGCUCCUACCGAUUGGAUGAGUUGGUGAGUGGAUUGGAGUAACAGCUAUCUUCCUGAAAGAUUGUUGUAUUUUUUAAAA
This 347-nucleotide ribosomal RNA is filed under the name Sphaerozoum fuscum. RNAcentral describes it as "partial 18S ribosomal RNA". It matches the Rfam family "Eukaryotic small subunit ribosomal RNA", at positions 1411 to 1755 of the family's 1831-position model. The record is from RNAcentral. Lineage: Eukaryota; Polycystinea; Collodaria; Sphaerozoidae.